This 301-nucleotide ribosomal RNA is filed under the name uncultured bacterium. RNAcentral's name for it is "partial 16S ribosomal RNA". It matches the Rfam family "Bacterial small subunit ribosomal RNA", at positions 509 to 807 of the family's 1533-position model. The record is from RNAcentral.
CAGCAGCCGCGGUAAUACGUAGGGUGCAAGCGUUAAUCGGAAUUACUGGGCGUAAAGCGUGCGCAGGCGGUUUGUUAAGACAGAUGUGAAAUCCCCGGGCUCAACCUGGGAACUGCAUUUGUGACUGGCAAGCUAGAGUAUGGCAGAGGGGGGUGGAAUUCCGCGUGUAGCAGUGAAAUGCGUAGAUAUGCGGAGGAACACCGAUGGCGAAGGCAGCCCCCUGGGCCAAUACUGACGCUCAUGCACGAAAGCGUGGGGAGCAAACAGGAUUAGAUACCCCCGUAGUCCCUGUCUCUUAUAC